Molecule: ribosomal RNA, 435 nt
Filed under: Salmonella enterica subsp. enterica serovar Newport
Lineage: Bacteria; Pseudomonadati; Pseudomonadota; Gammaproteobacteria; Enterobacterales; Enterobacteriaceae
Also listed under: 1 other name
Description: partial 23S ribosomal RNA
Rfam family: Bacterial large subunit ribosomal RNA
Source: RNAcentral
AAUCCAUAGGUUAAUGAGGCGAACCGGGGGAACUGAAACAUCUAAGUACCCCGAGGAAAAGAAAUCAACCGAGAUUCCCCCAGUAGCGGCGAGCGAACGGGGAGGAGCCCAGAGCCUGAAUCAGCAUGUGUGUUAGUGGAAGCGUCUGGAAAGGCGCGCGAUACAGGGUGACAGCCCCGUACACAAAAGCGCAUGUGCUGUGAGCUCGAUGAGUAGGGCGGGACACGUGGUAUCCUGUCUGAAUAUGGGGGGACCAUCCUCCAAGGCUAAAUACUCCUGACUGACCGAUAGUGAACCAGUACCGUGAGGGAAAGGCGAAAAGAACCCCGGCGAGGGGAGUGAAAAAGAACCUGAAACCGUGUACGUACAAGCAGUGGGAGCACCCUUUGGGGUGUGACUGCGUACCUUUUGUAUAAUGGGUCAGCGACUUAUAUU